This 448-nucleotide ribosomal RNA is filed under the name uncultured bacterium. RNAcentral's name for it is "partial 16S ribosomal RNA". It matches the Rfam family "Bacterial small subunit ribosomal RNA", at positions 29 to 523 of the family's 1533-position model. The record is from RNAcentral.
AACGAACGCUGGCGGCAUGCCUAACACAUGCAAGUCGAACGAGAUCUUCGGGUCUAGUGGCGCACGGGUGCGUAACGCGUGGGAAUCUGCCCUUUGGUUCGGAAUAACAGUUGGAAACGAUUGCUAAUACCGGAUGAUGACGAAAGUCCAAAGAUUUAUCGCCAGAGGAUGAGCCCGCGUAGGAUUGCUAGUUGGUGUGGUAUAGGCGCACCAAGGCGACGAUCCUUAGCUGGUCUGAGAGGAUGAUCAGCCACACUGGGACUGAGACACGGCCCAGACUCCUACGGGAGGCAGCAGUGGGGAAUAUUGGACAAUGGGCGAAAGCCUGAUCCAGCAAUGCCGCGUGAGUGAUGAAGGCCUUAGGGUUGUAAAGCUCUUUUACCCGGGAUGAUAAUGACAGUACCGGGAGAAUAAGCUCCGGCUAACUCCGUGCCAGCCGCCGCCGUAA